Molecule: long non-coding RNA, 758 nt
Filed under: Olea europaea subsp. europaea
Lineage: Eukaryota; Viridiplantae; Streptophyta; Magnoliopsida; Lamiales; Oleaceae
Source: RNAcentral
CUGGCCACAAACAACUAAAUAAUCUGUGACUACCACUUCAAUGCCGUCUCCAACAGCACCAUCACCAACGCCACCACCACAUUGAUCACAAAUUAAUCAAUUUAUUGAUCACAACUUUCAAUCAACCAAUAAAAUCAUCACAAAUACUCACACCCCAUCCCACCAGUCCAAAGCAUCGAACUACCGCCAACCACCACCAGUGACAUCGCCCACCACCACCACCACCGACAUCACCACCAGUACUAUCUAUAUCAACAAAAUCACCACAACCUCCAAAUCCAACAACGCCAUUGUCUACCUUCAAUCCAACAAAACUCACAUUCAUUGCCCGCAUCUGCCACCAUUGCCAACAACUGCUACCACUAAACUCAACUCCACCACCAGAUCCACCACCAUGGCCAACAACCGCCAUCCCCAUUCACUGUAUAAGGAUCCUCUGCCAUCACAGCACCGCAACCAUCACAAAUCGUUGUAGGGACCAUCGCCAGCAACCACCACCCCCAUUCACUGAGUGAAAAGCCUCUGCCACCAUAGCACCAUCACAAACUCACACCCACCCAAACCGCAAGAUCUACCACCGCAGCUGUUGCCACAAAAUCGCCAUCACAGAUUUGCGAAGGGAUCUAAUCAAAUACAAGAGAGUAGAUGAAAUGGAGGAGCCAGCAUCGUUGUAUUGGAGAUGGAUGAUGGCGAUGCUUCUUCUAUUAGCUUCACUCCGGCACCGACGGUCUCAUUUUUUUUUCCCUCCCCCGAUUGUU